AGGUGCCAGGAUCCCACACAGUUGUGCUUAUUCAUUUCCUGGCUACUGCCCAAUUUGUUGGUUUUUUAUUUUUUUUAAUUUUUUUUAAUUUUUUUUUCCAACGUUUAUUUAUUUUUGGGACAGAGAGAGACAGAGCAUGAACGGGCGAGAGGCAGAGAGAGAGGGAGACACAGAAUCGGAAACAGGCUCCAGGCUCUGAGCCAUCAGCCCAGAGCCCGACGCGGGGCUCGAACUCACGGACCGCGAGAUCGUGACCUGGCUGAAGUCGGACGCUUAACCGACUGCGCCACCCAGGCGCCCCUGUUGGUUUUUGAAUCAUGGAGAAUGUUGACCCCUAGGAGCACCUCUCUCAACGAGAACUAUCUCACGUAUCAUGACUACUUCAAGAUGCAGGAGAUUUGUACAGUCUCUCCAGAGGUGGCCUAUAGAGCCAAACAACCAAGUUGUGAAACUGGCCAGUUCAAGUAUACAGCCCCUUGUCAUCGCUGUCCCUCUUUCCUUGCCUCACUUCCCCAUUGUUCUCAUGCUUGUUUCUCUGAAAUCACACCUCCCCAUUGAUUGUUAGCACACACACAUUUUUUUCAGGCUCUGUUUUCUAGGGAGUUGGUAUAAUUGGUGACAGGAAUGGCACUAGUAACUGGAACUUUGGGGCUAGGUUUUGGUGUUGGGUUGUUUUCCAUUCUGAAAGUAAUAGAAACCAUAUUGCUGUUGGCAAAGGGAUGAUAACAAUCCCUGAUAUUCGGUGACAUCAUGAUGGCAUAGGUGUCAAAAACACGUAAUGGGAGAUCAAUGGCUGCUACGAGUGACUGACCAGUUUGAUGCAAUAUUAGUGUAAUUUGUGUCUGAUAGCAGUGAACGUCUGGAAAAGACUGACAGGUGAAUGACAACAGAUUGUCAACUUAAAGGCAGAUAGUGAAAGCCAGAGGGCUUUUAUGACAGCAUUAAAGGAGACUCUCAUCUUCCUGUAGUCUUAGACUAUACACUUCGUGCACUGCUAGACCCUAACAGAGACUAAGCAACUGAAUGUGAGGCACCAAGUGGCUUUGGGCAAGAGAACCCACAGAUGAUCUGAUUGAUAUCAAAUCAACUGAGUCACAUGUUUUGCAGUAGUAGAAGAAGAAAACUCUGUUGAAAAGUAAAAAUGGUAAAUGAGGAGUCAGGUUCAAGUCUUUCCAGAUGGCAUAAAAAAAAUGAGAUGGGUCAGUGUUAUGGAUUCCCCUGUCCCCUACUUCUCUUGCUCCCUGAACACACAAUGACCCCUAGGACAUUCAUAAUGCUCAG
This 1281-nucleotide long non-coding RNA is filed under the name Felis catus (domestic cat). RNAcentral's name for it is "lncRNA (ENSFCAG00000046900.1)". Lineage: Eukaryota; Metazoa; Chordata; Mammalia; Carnivora; Felidae. The record is from RNAcentral.